RNAcentral lists this ribosomal RNA (464 nucleotides) under Vreelandella stevensii. RNAcentral describes it as "partial 16S ribosomal RNA". It matches the Rfam family "Bacterial small subunit ribosomal RNA", at positions 338 to 795 of the family's 1533-position model. Lineage: Bacteria; Pseudomonadati; Pseudomonadota; Gammaproteobacteria; Oceanospirillales; Halomonadaceae. The record is from RNAcentral.
CCUACGGGUGGCAGCAGUGGGGAAUAUUGGACAAUGGGCGAAAGCCUGAUCCAGCCAUGCCGCGUGUGUGAAGAAGGCCUUCGGGUUGUAAAGCACUUUCAGUGGGGAAGAAAGCCUUGGGGCUAAUACCCUCGAGGAAGGACAUCACCCACAGAAGAAGCACCGGCUAACUCCGUGCCAGCAGCCGCGGUAAUACGGAGGGUGGAGCGUUAAUCGGAAUUACUGGGCGUAAAGCGCGCGUAGGCGGUCUGAUAAGCCGGUUGUGAAAGCCCCGGGCUCAACCUGGGAACGGCAUCCGGAACUGUCAGGCUAGAGUGCAGGAGAGGAAGGUAGAAUUCCCGGUGUAGCGGUGAAAUGCGUAGAGAUCGGGAGGAAUACCAGUGGCGAAGGCGGCCUUCUGGACUGACACUGACGCUGAGGUGCGAAAGCGUGGGUAGCAAACAGGAUUAGAUACCCCAGUAGUC